RNAcentral lists this ribosomal RNA (468 nucleotides) under uncultured bacterium. Its description in RNAcentral is "partial 16S ribosomal RNA". It matches the Rfam family "Bacterial small subunit ribosomal RNA", at positions 28 to 507 of the family's 1533-position model. The record is from RNAcentral.
GACGAACGCUGGCGGCGUGCUUAACACAUGCAAGUCGAACGGAAAGGCCCUGCUUUUGUGGGGUGCUCGAGUGGCGAACGGGUGAGUAACACGUGAGUAACCUGCCCUUGACUUUGGGAUAACUUCAGGAAACUGGGGCUAAUACCGGAUAGGAGCUCCUGCUGCAUAGUGAGGGUUGGACAGUUUCGGCGGUUGGGGAUGGACUCGCGGCUUAUCAGCUUGUUGGUGGGGUAGUGGCUUACCAAGGCUUUGACGGGUAGCCGGCCUGAGAGGGUGACCGGCCACAUUGGGACUGAGAUACGGCCCAGAGUCCUAGGUGAGGCAGCAGUGUGGAAUAUGGCAUAAUGGGCGGAAGCCUGAUGCAGCAACGCCGCGUGCGGGAUGACGGCCUUCGGGUUGUAAACCGCUUUCGCCUGUGACGAAGCGGGAGGGAAGGUAAUGGGUAAAGAAGCACCGGCUAACUACGUG